UGGCUCAGACGGUAAAGCGUCUGCCUACAAUGCAGGAGAUCCGGGUUCAAUCCCUGG
Molecule: transfer RNA, 57 nt
Filed under: Bos taurus (domestic cattle)
Lineage: Eukaryota; Metazoa; Chordata; Mammalia; Artiodactyla; Bovidae
Also listed under: 1 other name
Rfam family: tRNA
About the family: Transfer RNA (tRNA) molecules are approximately 80 nucleotides in length. Their secondary structure includes four short double-helical elements and three loops (D, anti-codon, and T loops). Further hydrogen bonds mediate the characteristic L-shaped molecular structure. tRNAs have two regions of fundamental functional importance: the anti-codon, which is responsible for specific mRNA codon recognition, and the 3' end, to which the tRNAs corresponding amino acid is attached (by aminoacyl-tRNA synthetases). tRNAs cope with the degeneracy of the genetic code in two manners: having more than one tRNA (with a specific anti-codon) for a particular amino acid; and 'wobble' base-pairing, i.e. permitting non-standard base-pairing at the 3rd anti-codon position.
Source: Rfam by way of RNAcentral